UACGUAGGGUGCGAGCGUUAAUCGGAAUUACUGGGCGUAAAGUGUGCGCAGGCGGCCGAGCAAGUCGAGUGUGAAAGCCCCGAGCUUAACUUGGGAACUGCGCUCGAAACUACUUGGCUAGAGUGUGGCAGAGGGAGGUGGAAUUCCACGUGUAGCGGUGAAAUGCGUAGAUAUCUGGAGGAACACCGGUGGCGAAGGCGGCAUCCUGGACCGCCAUUGACGCUGAGGCGCGAAAUCUAGGGGAGCAAACGGG
This 253-nucleotide ribosomal RNA is filed under the name uncultured bacterium. RNAcentral describes it as "partial 16S ribosomal RNA". It matches the Rfam family "Bacterial small subunit ribosomal RNA", at positions 524 to 776 of the family's 1533-position model. The record is from RNAcentral.